Molecule: ribosomal RNA, 378 nt
Filed under: uncultured Pelotomaculum sp.
Lineage: Bacteria; Bacillati; Bacillota; Clostridia; Eubacteriales; Desulfotomaculaceae
Description: bacterial SSU rRNA
Rfam family: Bacterial small subunit ribosomal RNA
Source: RNAcentral
UAGAGAUAGAAGUUACUUCGGUACAUCGGUGACAGGUGGUGCAUGGUUGUCGUCAGCUCGUGUCGUGAGAUGUUGGGUUAAGUCCCGCAACGAGCGCAACCCCUACGUUUAGUUGCUAACAGGUGAAGCUGAGCACUCUAGACGAACUGCCGUUGACAAAACGGAGGAAGGUGGGAUGACGUCAAAUCAUCAUGCCCUUAUGUUCUGGGCUACACACGUGCUACAAUGGCCGGUACAGACGGAGGCGAAGCCGCGAGGCGGAGCAAAUCCGAAAAAGCCGGUCUCAGUUCGGAUUGCAGGCUGCAAUUCGCCUGCAUGAAGUCGGAAUCGCUAGUAAUCGCAGGUCAGCAUACUGCGGUGAAUACGUUCCCGGGCCUU